UCGUCGGCCCGCGGCAGCGGGAAGUGCACCACCGCCUCGAAACGGCGGGUGAAGGCCGGGUCGAGGUUGUCCUUCUGGUUCGACGCCAGGAUGGCGAU
RNAcentral lists this transfer RNA (98 nucleotides) under Pseudaquabacterium pictum. RNAcentral describes it as "Aquabacterium pictum tRNA-Phe". The record is from RNAcentral. Lineage: Bacteria; Pseudomonadati; Pseudomonadota; Betaproteobacteria; Burkholderiales; Sphaerotilaceae.